This 85-nucleotide non-coding RNA is filed under the name Synergistales bacterium. Its description in RNAcentral is "c-di-GMP sequence". It matches the Rfam family "c-di-GMP-I riboswitch aptamer". From Rfam's summary of the family: GEMM was predicted in a large-scale screen for bacterial structured RNA regulatory elements. Genes associated with GEMM are involved in a diverse array of functions, including chemotaxis regulation, signal transduction, secretion and chitin. Lineage: Bacteria; Thermotogati; Synergistota; Synergistia; Synergistales. The record is from RNAcentral.
UAUCCGAAAGGGCAGAAUCGUCGAAAGGCGAUGACGCAAAGCUACGGGUCUAAAGCCGAAAGGCCAUGAUCGCCGGGCCGCCGAA